GUUUUUGGAGCAGGGGUCCGGUAUGAAUUUUGCCACUUGGCUGAUUGGCUGGUGCCAUUUGGUUUUUGCCUACCGUGUAGCAAAUUGUCACAACUUUGUAAGGUUGGCAGUUAGGCAUUGGUUCAUUCUUUGGUUCAGGGGAUUAUGGAUUGGCUGUGCCAGCCCCUCAUUUUUUGUUGUUGCUACUAGGGAAUUCUGUUAAAGGAAUCCAGGGGCUUGAUUUGCUCUGUCCGAUCCCCUCUCAGGGGUUCCUGGGAGAGUUCCUGGGAGCAUCUGGGGUGAACUAAGAGGUGGAAAUCCGCCUCUGUGGUCCCCCAGUAUGCUUUCCCUUACUGACCUCUGGAGGUUCCAGUUGUCAGUCCUGUUCCUGCUGGUGCAGGUUCAGGUAGUCCGAACCAAUGCCUAAGCAACCAUUCACCUGCUGUAAUCAAUAAAGUUGUGGCCAAAUUAACGCCAAAAAUCUUAAACAAAUAUUCUGUGUCCUGUGUGAUUUAUUUUGGAGAGGGUCUGGGGGUCUUCACACGCAACAGUCUGAUUCUGCAAAUGGCAGCUUCAUGCGAUGCAUGGUGUUUCCCAGCUCCUCCAUGCUUUUCAUGCAUAAUUAUCAGUUCAACAGUUAAUUGUAAAAUCAAAAUCAUUAAAUUGCUGCUUGCUGCUUCUCUGUUUCUCACAAGGAAACAUUUCUUUGCAGGCAAUCCUGUCUUAAAUUAUGAGAAUUGUGGGCACAGUUCAACCCAAGCAGCUGCCUCCACAACGAUUCAGCUCUCCCCCUGAGCCCUCCACUGGCUGCCACCCCCCCCAAAGAUCUUUUACCAUGGGGUCCAGCCAAGACUGGAGGAUCCCAGCAGGUCACAAUAAUCCUCUCCCCACCCCCCCUUUGCAGGGAGUGAUGGGACUGGUUUACAAGCGACCCACCACCUGCUACAAAAAACAAGGAACAUUAUUUAUUGCUUUUAAUUUAACCCAUCCUUUCCCACCAGGAAAAGAAUAAUACGGUCGAAAAGGCAAAAGCUCACCCCAUCCACAGUGAACCCUCUUGCCCCAAGUGCCCCUAUGGAGUGUGCAUGUUUGACCCACAAAAGCAGUUUUGCCACAUGCAAUCCUUCAAAGCAGACACUAUUGCAAGCUAAUGGAUGGUUUCUGAUUAUCCAGAAGUAGAAUCCACAAAUGACAAGGUAAUUGGUGCAGAAAAGUCCCAACCUCUCUAAAUGUGCAAGCUGUGGUUGGUUUAACUGAUAGAUAAAUCAAUGAAAAUCAUGCUUCUAAAUAGGUUUUUAGGUCACAUCCACACCAUACAUUUAAAACACAUUUAUGUAUACCACUUUAAUAGUCAUGGCUUCCUGGGAAUUAUUGUUUACCCACCACAAAGCUAUAAUUUCUAGCAUCCAUAAAAAUUAGUUCCCAGAAAAGGGGAAGCCAUGUGCUUUAAACUUAUGGUGUGGAAGUUACGCUGGUAAGUCACAGUAAGUUCAGUUGAGAGUAGGAUUGCAGGAUAGGGUUUCAGUAAGAGCAAUUUUAUAUUUCGCAAGGGUAAAUGUAUGGGGACAAAUUUAUUUGGGGUGCAUAAUCUUCAGGUACAAGAGGCCACCGCCAUGUGAAAGCAAAGUAGGUCUGGAUCUGUUCAGGGCUUGGAUGGUUGUCUGCUCUUUGAUCUUUGGAUGAAGGGCAGUACAUAAAUUUAAUUAGUAGUAGUAGUAGUAGUAGUAGUAGUAGUAUGCUACUCCAGGUUCCAUGAAAACAGCAGAGCAGAAUAAGUAGAACAACCCAGGCAGGAAAACAAAUAAAAUUUGAAUCCUAUAGGGAAUAUUAUAGGAAAUAGAAAGCUUUGAUUUCUUCUAAUAAUGCUAGAUCCUGCUUUUCGUCACUUGUAAUUUACGGUACCUGUUUCAAUUGUUCAAAGAGUUAUCUGCAAAUAUAUGUGAAUUAUAAUGUAAACAGAUAAGAAAAUUAUAAUUGAUUAGACCAGGGUUUUCCAGCUGGGGGCCAUGUGGCCCCCUGGGGCCCCCAGUAUAUUCCAAGAGGGCCACAGGUAAAAAUGCAUAAAUGGGGAGGGGGCACUGUUUCUGUAGGUUUCCUCCCCCAUGUCAAAUAACUGGGGUCAAAUAAGUGUUGUUUACUUUUUAUAAUGCAUGGAAGAUGGAUCUCCCUCGGGAGGUUCUGGACUCUCCUUCCUCGGAGGUUUCUAAGCAGAGCUUGGAUGGUCGUCUGUCCUGGAUGCUUUAGGUGAGUUUCCUGCGUUGCAGGGGGUUGCACCUGAAAGAUGACCUUCAGCGUCUUCCAGCUCUAUAAUUGCAUGAUUCUAUGUUUUUCUGCUUCAACAAUAUUUCAUUAUGUUCCUAUCAUUUUAUGUAAUUGCAUUUUGUAUAAAUUAUAAAUAAAACAUGCUCUAUUUACAAACAAAACAUUUAAAUAGCUACUUUUCUACCAGUAGGAUGGGGGGGCAUGGGCAUAGCCAGGAUCUUUGUUAGGGGGACAGGCUUUUGUUGGGGGGGGGGGAGAACCUCUGAUUUGUAUUGAUUUUUACUUAUUGUGGGGUCAGCUGCCCCUCUGCCCCACUGGCUAUGCCGGGGGGGACGACCACAUGAAGGAAACAAGGUCAGAAGGGGGCCACGGUUGGAAAAAGGUUGGGAAACACUGGAUUAGACAAUUAGAAGGAACAGAGUCAACUGCCAUUCUUUAUUUAUUUGAGUUGCGUAUCAAGGUCCCCAAGCCACCCCAAUAAACCACAAUUCACACAGAAUUUUUGUUAAGGUUUUUGGCAUAAUUUUGGCCACAACUUUAUUAAAAUACAAGAAAUGUGAGUGGUUGCUUAGGCAUUGGUUGCAACUAUCUGACCCCGCACGGGGACAGACUGACAUUUGCACACCUGCAAAAGUCAGAAAGGGAAAACAUUUUGGGGAGAAAGAUGGAGCUGGGUACCAUGCCCUCACCUCUCCCCAAAUGCUCCCAGGGGCUCUUGCGUGGCUCUAGCCCCUUGACAGGGGUUCGGACAAAAGCAUGGGGAGCCCCUGGGUUCCUUUAACGGAAAGCCCUUGCAGCAGCAGCAGUAUUUUGGAGGGGCAGGCACAGUCAAUCCAUGCCGCUCCACCAACCAAUUUUAACCAAUGCCUAACUGCAACCUUACAAGUUGUGAAGAUUUGCUACGCAGUAGGCAAAAGCCAAAUGGCACCAGCCAACCAGCCAAAUGGACAAAAUUCCUACCGGGCCCCUGCCCCAAGAUCAGACGACCCCAUGACAGGCAUAGCAAGGUCAUGUGAACAACCCUAAAUAUAGGGAGGGUGGGCGGAUGAUCCGAUGUGCACAGCGAAAAGAGGAAGCUCAACACUGUGUGCAGAGAAUAUAAGACUUCUUAGCUGUCAAUCACAAAAUGGCAACAUCAAAUUCUCCCCAAUGAGAAGAGGGGCCCAAUCGCAAUGGUGGCCAACUACCUUUACCCGCCCAGCAACAGUGGGAUGUCUUGCUAGACCCCACCGCAACACGUGCUCUCCAUGAAGGAGAACACGCUUUGUGCUAAAAAAUCUGAGGUGAGGGAAAGAAAGAGCAUAGCUCAAACAGAAACUUCCUGGUGCUAUCCUGAGUGUCUACAGGUGGGGCUAAGAAAUACCAUUGUCUGAAACCUAAGAAUGCUUUCACCAGUCAGGGUGGCCAGAAUAGAAAUUUAGAACUGAUUAGGAGAACAAAAUGACAGUUUUUCUAGCUUUUUAAUUUCAGUGAGUGUAAAAUAAAAAGGAAAGGUAUGAUUAAUAUGACCCUGACAAAUAUUAUUAGGCCCCAAAUUACCUUUCUGCUUUUUACAUCUCUAGUGACACACUACUAGCCCUGUAUAGGGAGGUUUUUAACAGUUGGGUGUUUUUAGAUAUACUGUAAGCCAGCCAGAGUGGCUGGGGAAACCCAGCAAGAUAGGUGGGGUAUAAAUAAAAUUAUUAAUUCUAAAUUAGGAUAUAUGUAGAAUUACCUUUAAAGAAAUGUAUGGACAUCCAUUUUUGUAAUAGUGCAAAUCAAGUGUCAAUACAUUUUGGUUACAUGCAGGACAUUUUCGGAUUUGAGCUGUUUUAAACCAAACGGCAUAAAGUGUUCUUAACCAAAUGUUUUCUGUACAUAUAUGGCACUGUCAGAGAAUUGCCCUCCUGAAAGCAUCCCAAGUACUUUAAAAAAGAUUGUUUGUGAACAUUUUCAGUCACAGCAUUUCACCUCUGGAGCCCAACGACGUUUGGAGAGCUUUAGGUUGCCCCUGAGAUACAUGUUGAAGUCACUGAGGGAUGAAGAAAAAGGAGAGCCCAUGAAAAGAUGCACUUUAAAGAGUUUCUUAAGGACCAAUACUUUUAAAGUUGAAUUGUCUUAUUGGGGGAAAUCAUAAGUAUUCAACUUGACAUAGCUGUAGAAACUCAGUAACAAAUGCACUCGUGUGACAGUUUAACAUGUUUAAAACAAUUAAAUAAAAAAGAAAGGCCAUGACAAAAAAAUGGGACUAACUAAAGACCAGCAAAUACAGCAUGUAAAAAUAAUAAUUGUUAAUCUCUUUAAGAACAGCAACUGAUGAUGUGACGUAAAAGGUAUCAGUGCAGUUUAUGGGUUAAUCAAGAGGGUUUAGCCAGCCCACACAAAAAAAUGUAACUAAAUAUGUAAAUGUUCACAAAAAACAUGUAAUCACUUGAAACAGGAUGUUCAUUGAAACACAGCUUAUGAACAAUGAAAACUUCCUCCCUUAUAAUCCUAAAUAUUUAUGCUUAUACUUUAUGUUUUAUAUGUUUCUGGCUUUACCAGAAUCGGUUUCAUCAGUAUUAUGUUGACAUUUCCACCAGCAGAAACCCAUCAGGACACCUGGACUUGCUUUGGAACCUGAGCUGCUUGGUGCGGAUAAAACAGGCUGGGAAGGACAAUGUGGCAAGCUGAAAAGAAGGAACAACUGAUAAGUACACUCUUCCGGUGCCCCACUUCUCUGCUUCAACUUGCACUCUCUUGCAUCACUUGCAAUAAAAAAGAUGUGUGGGCUAAGAUAAAUGAGCUUAAUUGUCUAACCUGAUAUUUUGUGUGUCCCUGCCGUUUGGAAGGGAAGAGGCACUGGUCUGCAAAUGUGCUGAAAUAUAAAUGGAUUAAUGGAAGUGGCCAAAGGCUCAGCUGCUCUGUAAAACAAUACAGGAGGAAGGGGGCCCUUUACUGGUCCUUGGCAGUACAUCCUCCCCAUCUAGAUUUAGGCUUGAAAGACCAAUUAAACGUGUGUGUGCAAGGGAAGGUUGGUUGCAAGCAUUGCACCAUUUGUGACAGUGCACAAUUUCUUGCUGAUCGCAAUCACUUAAGGUAUCGGUGCUAGCUUCCCAUUUCUGAGAUUUGUGGAUCUUUAACUGGCUGUUCUUUUUUAAAAAAAACAAUUAAAUCUUAUACUGUGUAUGCUGUAGUCAGAGAUGUUUCUACAACUUGGCAUAGUGUACUACUCUGACACUGUUGAUAUGAGCUGGCAAUCAGCUAAUGGGCACAUGGGAAAUCAUAUCUGAUUUAUAAAAGGAAGGCCUCUAUGCAAUAAUUGAUGUGACAUGACACCAUCACCAAAGUUAUUCUUGGGAAAUAGUAACAGUUGAUUCUGAAUACUUUGACACUUCACAGACACCUGUCAACUUUCUGUCUGAUGAGGGGCCUGUUUACUUGUCCUGAAUUGUUAUGAGAACAUGCAGUAUCUAGUCAAGCUGUAUCCCAAUGCUUUCGUUUUUGGGUUAAGAUGCCCAUUUGCUGUUGGCAAAAGUUCUGCAUGGGAUUAUAAAGGCCUAAAUGAAUAGAGAAUAUCUACAGCUAUUAGACAGAGUGUGCCCAGGGCAUCUAUCCUAAUAGUUGUAGUGUGCCCAAUGAAGCUUUGAGCUGGACUGAGGAAUCAAAGUAAGCUAUACUGAAAUCAAAAUAUGAGGUCACCAGCUGCCCACCAGCAGAAGAUAAAUACAUCUUUUUGCACUGCCAAAUGCUGAAACAUCAUGGAAUCAG
Non-coding RNA from Podarcis lilfordi (Lilford's wall lizard), 5970 nucleotides. Lineage: Eukaryota; Metazoa; Chordata; Lepidosauria; Squamata; Lacertidae. The record is from the annotation of a GenBank genome assembly.